Molecule: unclassified non-coding RNA, 342 nt
Filed under: soil metagenome
Description: partial contains 5.8S ribosomal RNA, internal transcribed spacer 2, and large subunit ribosomal RNA
Rfam family: 5.8S ribosomal RNA (bases 1-120)
Source: RNAcentral
GAUGAAGAACGUAGCGAAAUGCGAUAAGUAAUGUGAAUUGCAGAAUUCAGUGAAUCAUCGAGUUUUUGAACGCAUAUUGCGCCCUCUGGUAUUCCGGGGGGCAUGCCUGUUCGAGCGUCAUUAAAUAACCCUCAAGCAUAGCUUGGUGUUGGGCUUUUUUACGUCCUUGACUGGGAUGGGCCUAAAAAUUAGUGGCGAUGGCUUUUUUACUUUCAAGCGUAGUAAAUCUCGUCUUGCUAAAGAGGAAAAAGAUUUUUUUUCUGCCAAAAAUUUUAACAUUUAAAGUUGACCUCGGAUCAGGUAGGAUUACCCGCUGAACUUAAGCAUAUCAUAAGCGGAGGA